Molecule: ribosomal RNA, 750 nt
Filed under: Pseudomonas fluorescens
Lineage: Bacteria; Pseudomonadati; Pseudomonadota; Gammaproteobacteria; Pseudomonadales; Pseudomonadaceae
Description: bacterial SSU rRNA
Rfam family: Bacterial small subunit ribosomal RNA
Source: RNAcentral
GCUCAGAUUGAACGCUGGCGGCAGGCCUAACACAUGCAAGUCGAGCGGCAGCACGGGUACUUGUACCUGGUGGCGAGCGGCGGACGGGUGAGUAAUGCCUAGGAAUCUGCCUGGUAGUGGGGGAUAACGCUCGGAAACGGACGCUAAUACCGCAUACGUCCUACGGGAGAAAGCAGGGGACCUUCGGGCCUUGCGCUAUCAGAUGAGCCUAGGUCGGAUUAGCUAGUUGGUGAGGUAAUGGCUCACCAAGGCGACGAUCCGUAACUGGUCUGAGAGGAUGAUCAGUCACACUGGAACUGAGACACGGUCCAGACUCCUACGGGAGGCAGCAGUGGGGAAUAUUGGACAAUGGGCGAAAGCCUGAUCCAGCCAUGCCGCGUGUGUGAAGAAGGUCUUCGGAUUGUAAAGCACUUUAAGUUGGGAGGAAGGGCAGUUACCUAAUACGUANCUGUUUUGACGUUACCGACAGAAUAAGCACCGGCUAACUCUGUGCCAGCAGCCGCGGUAAUACAGAGGGUGCAAGCGUUAAUCGGAAUUACUGGGCGUAAAGCGCGCGUAGGUGGUUCGUUAAGUUGGAUGUGAAAUCCCCGGGCUCAACCUGGGAACUGCAUUCAAAACUGACGAGCUAGAGUAUGGUAGAGGGUGGUGGAAUUUCCUGUGUAGCGGUGAAAUGCGUAGAUAUAGGAAGGAACACCAGUGGCGAAGGCGACCACCUGGACUGAUACUGACACUGAGGUGCGAAAGCGUGGG